CACAGUUCUCUGGUCCUGGGUUUGAAAGUCAGCUCUGGCAUUCCUGUGUUGUGUCUGUCUGUUCUCCGCUCACAUGGGUCGUUAAUGCAGUUUUCCAGACAAUUUCACCAUCUUCCAUGAACCUACGUGUUGCUGGAGGGAGCUGGAGCAAACCCACGCAAGUGCUUGGAAAAUAUGCAAACUCAACACCAUGCUGCCCUGCAUUUCACAAUAGAACAACCACAAAAUUUUCUUCGUCAAAUAUUGAAGUAUGAUGACAGGAAAGUGUAAGAGGGCUUUCUUAGUGUUCUUAGCCACGUCGUGAUUGGCCAGUGUGGUUUUCGAUUGUUUGCUUGGCAGAAGGCACUGAAUGACUGACUCAGUUUAAUGGACUUACGGCAUCUCCAAGGACAUUUGGAUUCGGUUGGGCCCCCGCUGGCUAACAUAAACUGAGGGAAGUGGUUAUGGGACCACUGGGGAGGCAGCAAAACCAGCAUUUUGAUAAAUAUCUUAAACACUCAAGGUGAUUCUACCCGGGCCCCUAAGAUUUUGAAAUAUAUAUUUGACAUGUUCAUGUGCACAAAUCAAGUUGUAGGCUGCUUCAUGCAUUUUAUUGCUGUCCAAAGAACCUCAUUUGAUCCAUGUCUGCCAUAUGAAGCCAUGAAAAAA
Long non-coding RNA from Syngnathoides biaculeatus (alligator pipefish), 648 nucleotides. RefSeq lists it as uncharacterized. Lineage: Eukaryota; Metazoa; Chordata; Actinopteri; Syngnathiformes; Syngnathidae. The record is from RefSeq and is a predicted model, not a curated record. The transcript is spliced from 3 exons.